AUUUAGCAAGUAUUACUCAAGCAAAGAGGACUAUAGUUUGAGCCCCCGAAACUAAGCGAGCUACUCCAAGAUUGCCUAAACAGAAGGGCUAACCCGUCUCUGUAGCAAAAGAGUGGGGAAAACUUUGAGUAGAGGUGACAAACCUACCGAGCCUAGUGAUAGCUGGUUGCCCGAGAAUUGAAUUUAAGUUCAGCCUUUUCCAUUCUUUCAUGUCUAACUUAAGCCCUAGCAGCUAAACCCCAGAAGAAAGACAACCUAAGGAGAUAGUCAAAAGGGGGACAGCCCUCUUGACCGAAGAAACAACUUUUACAGAAGGUUAAAGAUUAUUACCAAAAAGACAGUGUGCCCAGGUGGGCUUAAAAGCAGCCACCCUAAAAGACAGCGUUAAAGCUCACGCACACAUUCCUCAUGCAAUUUCAAUUAUAAACUCUUACACCUCUCUUCAUAUCCGGCCACUCCAUGCAAGCAUGGAAGAGAUUAUGCUAAUAUGAGUAAUAAGAGAGCCAAAGACUCUCUCGAAUACAUCCCUGUACAUCAGAACAAACACACACUGAAAAUUAACGCCCCCAGCCCAAGAGGGAAUUGAAAGACUUACGAUAACAACUGGAAAGAUCCUCAACGUAAAAGCGUUAACCCAACACAGGAAUGGUACACGAAAGACAAAAAGGGAGAAAAGGAACUCGGCAAACACCGGCCUCGCCUGUUUACCAAAAACAUCGCCUCUUGUAACACACCCCUCAAUAAGAGGUCCCGCCUGCCCUGUGACCAAAGUUUAACGGCCGCGGUAUUCUGACCGUGCGAAGGUAGCGCAAUCACUUGUCUUUUAAAUGAAGACCUGUAUGAAUGGCAUUACGAGGGCCGUACUGUCUCCUCUCCCCAGUCAAUGAAAUUGAUCUGCCCGUGCAGAAGCGGACAUAUUUUCAUAAGACGAGAAGACCCUAUGGAGCUUUAGAUAGCAGGAUAGCCCACACACAAAAUCCCCUGCCAAACCCAGGGAUGAAAUCGGACGGACCCUAUCCUCAUGUCUUCGGUUGGGGCGACCACGGGGAAACAAAAAACCCCCGCGAAGAAUGGGAGUAAUCCCUCAUACUAGAGCCACAGCUCUCGUAGCCAGAACAUCUGACUUUACAGACCCGGCCAACUGAACGCCGAUCAACGAACCAAGUUACCCUAGGGAUAACAGCGCAAUCCCCUUUCAGAGUCCAUAUCGACAAGGGGGUUUACGACCUCGAUGUUGGACCAGGACAUCCUAUUGGUGCAGCCGCUAUUAAGGGUUC
RNAcentral lists this ribosomal RNA (1277 nucleotides) under Fusigobius signipinnis (signalfin goby). Its description in RNAcentral is "partial 16S ribosomal RNA". It matches the Rfam family "Bacterial large subunit ribosomal RNA", at positions 672 to 2574 of the family's 2925-position model. The record is from RNAcentral. Lineage: Eukaryota; Metazoa; Chordata; Actinopteri; Gobiiformes; Gobiidae.